Molecule: ribosomal RNA, 537 nt
Filed under: uncultured Mycobacterium sp.
Lineage: Bacteria; Bacillati; Actinomycetota; Actinomycetes; Mycobacteriales; Mycobacteriaceae
Description: bacterial SSU rRNA
Rfam family: Bacterial small subunit ribosomal RNA
Source: RNAcentral
CAUGCAAGUCGAACGGAAAGGCCCUUCGGGGUGCUCGAGUGGCGAACGGGUGAGUAACACGUGGGUGAUCUGCCCUGCACUUUGGGAUAAGCCUGGGAAACUGGGUCUAAUACCGAAUACACCCUGCUGGUCGCAUGGCCUGGUGGGGGAAAGCUUUUGCGGUGUGGGAUGGGCCCGCGGCCUAUCAGCUUGUUGGUGAGGUUAUGGCUUACCAAGGCGACGACGGGUAGCCGGCCUGAGAGGGUGUCCGGCCACACUGGGACUGAGAUACGGCCCAGACUCCUACGGGAGGCAGCAGUGGGGAAUAUUGCACAAUGGGCGCAAGCCUGAUGCAGCGACGCCGCGUGAGGGAUGACGGCCUUCGGGUUGUAAACCUCUUUCGCCAGGGACGAAGCGCAAGUGACGGUACCUGGAGAAGAAGCACCGGCCAACUACGUGCCAGCAGCCGCGGUAAUACGUAGGGUGCGAGCGUUGUCCGGAAUUACUGGGCGUAAAGAGCUCGUAGGUGGUUUGUCGCGUUGUUCGUGAAAACUCACA